This is a non-coding RNA of Arachis ipaensis, 385 nucleotides long. The record is from RefSeq and is a predicted model, not a curated record. Lineage: Eukaryota; Viridiplantae; Streptophyta; Magnoliopsida; Fabales; Fabaceae.
AGAUUCAAGUUAGCUUUCGGAACUUGUGGGCUCAAGCUAUUGAGCAUAUGGGUAUGGUGUAGGUUAAGUGGGUGUUUAUGCAUUGGAAUUGAAUUGGGAUUACUUGGAGGUUUGUUGGUAAUCAAGGCUUGUUUUGGGGCUGUUUGGUUGAGCUUGGAGGGGUUGUAAUUUUGUGUUGUGAGGCUGCCUUGGGUGAGCUAAGUGAUCGGCCAAGAUGCAGGUCGAGAGGCUCCUCGCUAGACGUCUGGAUCCUGGGAAGCGAAGUAGUCCUUGGGUGUAUUUUGGUUUCUGUUUGUAUAUAUGUAUAUAUAUGUUUAGCUUACUCUCCAAGUAACUUAUGUACGCUGCUCCUCUUAGAGGUUGAGGGAGAGAUAUGAGUUUACUU